This 76-nucleotide transfer RNA is filed under the name Prevotella sp. RNAcentral describes it as "tRNA-Pro". It matches the Rfam family "tRNA". Rfam says of the family: Transfer RNA (tRNA) molecules are approximately 80 nucleotides in length. The record is from RNAcentral. RNAcentral also lists the same sequence under 1 other name. Lineage: Bacteria; Pseudomonadati; Bacteroidota; Bacteroidia; Bacteroidales; Prevotellaceae.
CGGGAUGUAGCGCAGUUGGUAGCGCACUACGUUCGGGACGUAGGAGUCGCCAGUUCGAGUCUGGUCAUCCCGACCA